Molecule: long non-coding RNA, 1461 nt
Organism: Capra hircus (goat)
Lineage: Eukaryota; Metazoa; Chordata; Mammalia; Artiodactyla; Bovidae
Exons: 2
Source: RefSeq, a predicted model, not a curated record
ACAAAACAAACAGCUUGAAUUCUCAAGUGCCCUGGUUCCAGAAGAAAUCAAAAAGCAGUUACAGUUACGAUUUUCCUUCUUGAAGCUUAUUUUCUGGGAUUAGUAGAACUGUGGCCUAUCUGUGCAGCUGUGAAGGAAGACCAUAACUGGAUAAAGUUAAGUCAGGUGUGCCUUUAGUGACCUUAUAAAAGAAAUCAUUCAUUACCUGUGCCAUGCUGACUUGUGAUAAGGCAGUGAAAAUUAAACUGAGACUACAUAACAAAGGGUACCAUAAUGUAUUUCUAAACCUGCAUAUCAUGAACACCCAGUAUCUUGACCAUCCAACUAAGCCUGCCAAUAGCUGGGAACUUUUACACAAAUGGCCUUAAGAAAAUAAGUGACGAUUUGGACACCCUUGGGCUUUUUUCCCCUUCUAAGCAGCACUACACUGGACGUGUUAUGAGUCUGAAAAGCGCAAGCCUCACUCAAAGCUGUAAUCUCUUUGUAGGCACACGUGGCUGUUCCCAUGGGUCUCCAGAGCUGUGUGUAGCUUCCUACCUGAGGAGAGCUUCCUGUAUGCGGCUGCUGAAGACAUUGCCUGUCCUAGGGCUUGAUUAGAGCCCAGAGGCUGCUGGAAACAGGCAGCUUUACUGGUUGAAGCAGUCUGCUGCUUUGAUUUGGGAUCUUUAACUGGUUUAGUCCAGACCAGUGCCUCCCCGACCUGUAGAGCAGCUCCCAGCUUCUGGGCUACCUCCACCAUCUUGUGUCCAUGUGGAAAGGAAGCAAAAAAAAGUCACAGACUGCAAAGGGCUGCUCUACAUAAAUGUCUCUUACCAGCCAAGAGCAUGUACAGCUCCCCCAUCUUCGGCUGGAAGUUGAUGGCUGCGCUGAGGAAAUGGAAAGCGGAUGCAUACUGCUGCAUAGUCAAGUGGACAAGGCCCAAAUUAUAGAGAAUCUUCCAAUCUAAAGGUGCCAGGUAGUUGGCUCGUUUCAGGCAGCUGAUGGCCUGGAGGAGGGAGGGGGCGCUUGGUGAGGGGCUGGGGCGAGCUCAGCAGACCCAGUAACUAUGAAUGCAAACCAGAAAGAGGAGGAGACACUCACUGCCACAUAUUUCUUCUUGCCAAAGAAGCACAUUCCGAUGUUGUUCCAGAGUGGAGGGCUUUCUGUAACAGCACACGCUACAACUUUGUAUUUGGUGAGGGCAACAUCAAAGUCCCCAUGGGUCUGCAUCAUGCUGCCUGCUGCCAAGAUGGCCUGAAAACAUGGAAAGUUCAUGAUGUAGUCAUUCCCAAAAGGCCGUCGGAGUGAAGCAGCCUUCCUGAGUCUAGAUACUCAGUAGGCCCGUCAACACUGGUGGGACGGAAAAGCAUCUUCCAGGGACCUAUCCAUCCACAGCUGCUGGGACAAACGCUCAAGAGGAACACUCUCACGCCCCACACUGUGGCCCUUUGCCGUAAUAAAGAAAAGUCUCUGACUUUACCU